ACUCCUACGGGAGGCAGCAGUGGGGAAUAUUGCACAAUGGGCGAAAGCCUGAUGCAGCAAUGCCGCGUGUGUGAAGAAGGCCUGCGGGUUGUAAAGCACUUUAUCGGGAAAGAAAACCAAGGCUAAUACCCUGGUCUUGACGGUACCCGUGAAUAAGCACCGGCUAACUCCGUGCCAGCAGCCGCGGUAAUACGGAGGGUGCAAGCGUUAAUCGGAAUUACUGGGCGUAAAGCGAGUGUAGGCGGCGACGUAAGUCGGAUGUGAAAGCCCCGGC
RNAcentral lists this ribosomal RNA (274 nucleotides) under uncultured bacterium. RNAcentral's name for it is "partial 16S ribosomal RNA". It matches the Rfam family "Bacterial small subunit ribosomal RNA", at positions 335 to 607 of the family's 1533-position model. The record is from RNAcentral.